AGGCCUUCGGGUUGUAAACCACUUUUGUACGGAACGAAACGGUCUGCUCUAAUAAAGUGGGCUAAUGACGGUACCGUAAGAAUAAGCACCGGCUAACUACGUGCCAGCAGCCGCGGUAAUACGUAGGGUGCGAGCGUUAAUCGGAAUUACUGGGCGUAAAGCGUGCGCAGGCGGUUAUAUAAGACAGUUGUGAAAUCCCCGGGCUCAACCUGGGAAUUGCAUCUGUGACUGUAUAGCUAGAGUACGGUAGAGGGGGAUGGAAUUCCGCGUGUAGCAGUGAAAUGCGUAGAUAUGCGGAGGAACACCGAUGGCGAAGGCAAUCCCCUGGACCUGUACUGACGCUCAUGCACGAAAGCGUGGGGAGCAAACAGGAUUAGAUACCCUGGUAGUCCACGCCCUAAACGAUGUCAACUGGUUGUUGGGUGCAUUAGUACUCAGUAACGAAGCUAACGCGUGAAGUUGACCGCCUGGGGAGUACGGCCGCAAGGUUGAAACUCAAA
Molecule: ribosomal RNA, 500 nt
Filed under: uncultured bacterium
Lineage: Bacteria
Description: bacterial SSU rRNA
Rfam family: Bacterial small subunit ribosomal RNA
Source: RNAcentral